RNAcentral lists this small RNA (190 nucleotides) under Arabidopsis thaliana (thale cress). Its description in RNAcentral is "ATSL205610". Lineage: Eukaryota; Viridiplantae; Streptophyta; Magnoliopsida; Brassicales; Brassicaceae. The record is from RNAcentral.
AAAAUACGAUACUGGCCACUUGUAAGAUUUAGAGUGAUUGUCGUAAUAAUCUUCCAAACACCCUCGAUUAAGCACCUUUCAAACUUCUUGAUAUGCUCUCUUCUCACAGCAGCAUACAUCUUAUCACCAUAUAUGACAAAAUAAUUUAAAUAAUAAUUAGUAAAUGAAAAUGAUGCUUGAACACACUAUU